Oncorhynchus tshawytscha (Chinook salmon) is the source of this 2485-nucleotide long non-coding RNA. Lineage: Eukaryota; Metazoa; Chordata; Actinopteri; Salmoniformes; Salmonidae. The record is from Ensembl.
UGGGGAUCAUAUUUAGGCAGCCAUUUCCCCACUAUGUUUUGUGGGAUGUUGUUUUUGUGUUGUUGCCUUUGAGCACUUCAUUUACAUCACGUUCGGUGUUUCUUUAUUUUGUAUUGUUCUAAGUUCCACUUCAAUAAAUAUGUGGAACCCAGAUCACGCAGUGCUUUGGUCCGAGUAUGCUUCCAACGAUGAUCGUGACACAUUGUCCAUUUGGAAGACCCAUUUGCAACCAAGCUUUAACUUCCUUACUGAUGUCUUGAGAUGUUGCUUCAAUAUAUCAACAAUUUUCCUUCCUCAUGACGCCAUCUAUUUUGUGAACUGCAUCAGUCCCUCCUGCAGCAAAGCACACCAACAACAUGAUGCUGCCACCCCUGUGCUUCACGGUUGGGAUGGUGUUCUUCGGCUUGCAAGCCUCCCCCUUUUUCCUCCAAACAUAAUGAUGGUCAUUAUGGCCAAACAGUUCUAUUUUUGUUUCAUCAGACCAGAGGACAUUUCUCCAAAAAUUACAAUCUUUGUCCCCAUGUGCAGUUGCAAACCGUAGUCUGGCUUUUUUAUGGCGGUUUUGGAGCAGUGGCUUCUUCCUUGCUGAGAGGCCUUUCAGGUUAUGUUGAUAUAGGACUCGUUUUACUGUGGAUAUAGAUACUUUUGUACCUGUUUCCUCCAGCAUCUUCACAAGGUCCUUUGCUGAUGUUCUGGGAUUGAUGCGCACUUUUCGCACACAAGUACGUUCAUCUCGAGGAGACAGAAUGCGUCUCCUUCCUGAGCGGUAUGAAGGCUGCGUGGUCCCAUGGUGUUUAUACUUGCGUACUAUUGAUUGCACUGAUGAAAGUGGUAUCAGGUGUUUGGAAAUUGCUCCCAAGGAUAAACCAGACUUGUGGAGGUCUACAAUAUUUUUUCUGAAGUCUUGGCUGAUUUCUUUUGAUUUUCCCAUGAGUUUGAAGUUCGAAGGUAGGCCUUGAAAUACAUCUACAGGUACACCUCCAAUAGACUCAAAUUAUGUCAAUUAGCCUAUCAGAAGUUUCUAAAGCCAUGACAUCCUUUCUGGAAUUUUCCAAGCUGUUUAAAGGCACAGUCAAUUUAUUGUAUGUAAACUUCUGACCCACUGGAAUUGUGAUACAGUGAAAUAAUCUGUCUGUAAACAAUUGUUGGAAAAAUUACUUGUGUCAUGCACAAAGUAGAUGUCCUAACCGACUUUCCAGAACUAUAGUUUAUUCACAAGAAAUUUGUGGAGUGGUUGAAAAAUGAGUUUUAAUGACUCAAACCUAAGUGUAUGUAAACUUCCGAGUUCAACAAUAUGUCUCAGUCUGUGAGUCAUGCCGUGGGUAGAGGUCGUUCCCAUGCUGGUUGUGUUGUUUCCCUGCUGGUAGAGGUGGAACUCCACAGAGGUGACUGGAAUGAAGAGGAGGCUUUGGUGUCUGUCUCUACCCUACCGCCUGGUGAGUGAGGUGUCUGUCUCUACCCUACCGCCUGGUGAGUGAGGUUUCUGUCUCUACCCUACCGCCUGGUGAGUGAGGUUUCUGUCUCUACCCUACCGCCUGGUGAGUGAGGUGUCUGUCUCUACCCUACCGCCUGGUGAGUGAAGUGUCUGUCUCUACCCUAUCGCCUGGUGAGUGAGGUUUCUGUCUCUACCCUAUCGCCUGGUGAGUGAGGUGUCUGUCUCUACCCUACCGCCUGGUGACUAAGGUCUUCAAUGUGGAACAGAAACAUCACUAAACAAUGUUAGGCCAGGGAUGACCAGGGGUGUCCUGUGUUAUCUAAACAUUGUGUGUGAGUUAUCUGGAUGUUGUGUGUAUCCUCUGUGCUAGACUGUAGGGAAGAGACGUACCCCUGUACCAGGAUGUACUCUGUCCACCGGCCCAUCAAGAGAUGCAUCCACUCCCUCUGCCUUUACAGCCUCCCUCUAUGUGAUCAACAAGGAGAUAUGUGUUAGAACUGUCUGCCAACAGGAUGAGUACCUGAAGGCUGAGCUCUGCAGGGAGCGGUCCGGCUGGCCCAAACGCUUCCAGAGGUCAACCACCAAUAAGAAACGCUGUCACAAUCGCCGCGGCAAUCCCAAAAUCUGGGAAAACAAGGCCUGAUGGGCCCAAGACGGAGGAGUUAGAAGGAGGGGUGGAGGAGGAAGGAGAGGAGGACAGAAAGAGAGAAGGAGGGGUGGAGGAGGAAGGAGAGAAGGAGUAGGAGGGAGGACACCCUUGGAGACAGAACACUGGGUUGUCUCCAUAAAAAGACCCGGAAACACCAUAAAUUCCCCGCUCAACACCUGGUGCUAGCCUGUGCCUUAAUACACAACCACAACCACGCACGCACACACACAAACAAUAUAUAUUUAAAACACAGUCCACGUGACUCCAGUUAAGAGCAGUCUGAGUCAUAUUUUUCAUUUCUUCUAUUGGACCUGUGUUUUAAUAGAACUGUCUGUGAAUAUCAGGGGAGAAAUCACUCCCCACAGAUUGGACCUGUGUUUUAAUAGAACUGUCUGUGAAUA